RNAcentral lists this transfer RNA (76 nucleotides) under Pararhodospirillum photometricum DSM 122. RNAcentral's name for it is "tRNA-Ala". The record is from RNAcentral. Lineage: Bacteria; Pseudomonadati; Pseudomonadota; Alphaproteobacteria; Rhodospirillales; Rhodospirillaceae.
GUCCGACCCCAGCUACCAUACAUGGCAAUCGGAUGCGACCUUGACCCAGUUACUCUGGGAUUUCGGGGGCACCAAC